RNAcentral lists this transfer RNA (68 nucleotides) under Tupaia minor. Its description in RNAcentral is "tRNA-Pro". It matches the Rfam family "tRNA". Rfam says of the family: Transfer RNA (tRNA) molecules are approximately 80 nucleotides in length. Their secondary structure includes four short double-helical elements and three loops (D, anti-codon, and T loops). Further hydrogen bonds mediate the characteristic L-shaped molecular structure. tRNAs have two regions of fundamental functional importance: the anti-codon, which is responsible for specific mRNA codon recognition, and the 3' end, to which the tRNAs corresponding amino acid is attached (by aminoacyl-tRNA synthetases). tRNAs cope with the degeneracy of the genetic code in two manners: having more than one tRNA (with a specific anti-codon) for a particular amino acid; and 'wobble' base-pairing, i.e. permitting non-standard base-pairing at the 3rd anti-codon position. The record is from RNAcentral. Lineage: Eukaryota; Metazoa; Chordata; Mammalia; Scandentia; Tupaiidae.
CAAGGAAUAGUUUAAUAAGAAUAUCAGCUUUGGGUGCUGGUGGUGGAGUGUCGAUUCUUCUUCCUUGA